This 414-nucleotide ribosomal RNA is filed under the name uncultured bacterium. RNAcentral describes it as "bacterial SSU rRNA". It matches the Rfam family "Bacterial small subunit ribosomal RNA", at positions 355 to 766 of the family's 1533-position model. The record is from RNAcentral.
UAAGGAAUAUUGGACAAUGGAGGCAACUCUGAUCCAGCCAUGCCGCGUGAAGGAAUAAGGCCCUAUGGGUUGUAAACUUCUUUUAGACGGGACAAAACCCCUUUACGUGUAAAGGGUUGAUGGUACUGUCAGAAUAAGCAUCGGCUAACUUCGUGCCAGCAGCCGCGGUAAUACGAAGGAUGCAAGCGUUAUCCGGAAUUAUUGGGUUUAAAGGGUGCGUAGGCGGACUAAUAAGUCAGAGGUGAAAGCCUGCAGCUUAACUGCAGAAUUGCCAUUGNUACUGUUAGUCUUGAGUACGGGAGAGGGAAGUGGAAUUUCCGGUGUAGCGGUGAAAGGCGUAGAUAUCGGAAGGAACACCAGUGGCGAAGGCGACUUCCUGGCCCGUUACUGACACUGAGGCGCGAAAGCGUGGGG